Molecule: ribosomal RNA, 497 nt
Filed under: uncultured bacterium
Lineage: Bacteria
Description: partial 16S ribosomal RNA
Rfam family: Bacterial small subunit ribosomal RNA
Source: RNAcentral
GAUGAACGCUGGCGGCGUGCCUAAUACAUGCAAGUCGAGCGAACGGACGAGAAGCUUGCUUCUCUGAUGUUAGCGGCGGACGGGUGAGUAACACGUGGAUAACCUACCUAUAAGACUGGGAUAACUUCGGGAAACCGGAGCUAAUACCGGAUAAUAUUUUGAACCGCAUGGUUCAAAAGUAAAAGACGGUCUUGCUGUCACUUAUAGAUGGAUCCGCGCUGCAUUAGCUAGUUGGUAAGGUAACGGCUUACCAAGGCAACGAUGCAUAGCCGACCUGAGAGGGUGAUCGGCCACACUGGAACUGCGACACGGUCCAGACUACUACGGGAGGCAGCAGUAGGGAAUCUUCCGCAAUGGGCGAAAGCCUGACGGAGCAACGCCGCUGGAGUGAUGAAGGUCUUCGGAUCGUAAAACUCUGUUAUUAGGGAAGAACAUAUGUGUAAGUAACUGUGCACAUCUUGACGGUACCUAAUCAGAAAGCCACGGCUAACUACGUG